ACCAACGGGGUGCAGCAGGCGCGAAACCUCCGCAAUGCACGCAAGUGCGACGGGGGAACCCCAAGUGCCACUCUUAACGGGGUGGCUUUUCAGAAGUGUAAAAAGCUUCUGGAAUAAGGGCUGGGCAAGACCGGUACCAGCCGCCGCGGUAACACCGGCAGCUCAAGUGGUAGCCGCUUUUAUUGGGCCUAAAGCGUCCGUAGCCAGUCUGAUAAGUCUCUGGUGAAAUCCCACAGCUUAACUGUGGGAAUUGCUGGAGAUACUAUCAUGACUCGAGGUCGGGAGAGGCUGGAGGUACUCCCAGGGUAGGGGUGAAAUCCUGUAAUCCUGGGAGGACCACCUGUGGCGAAGGCGUCCAGCUGGAACGAACCUGACGGUGAGGGACGAAAGCCAGGGGCGCGAACCGGAUUAGAUACCCGGGUAGUCCUGGCCGUAAACGAUGUGGACUUGGUGUUGGGAUGGCUUCGAGCUGCCCCAGUGCCGAAGGGAAGCUGUUAAGUCCACCGCCUGGGAAGUACGGCCGCAAGGCUCCGGGAA
Molecule: ribosomal RNA, 537 nt
Filed under: uncultured Methanothermobacter sp.
Lineage: Archaea; Methanobacteriati; Methanobacteriota; Methanobacteria; Methanobacteriales; Methanobacteriaceae
Description: bacterial SSU rRNA
Rfam family: Archaeal small subunit ribosomal RNA
Source: RNAcentral